GCAACCCAGAUUUAAACCCGUCUCCGCCGACGUCAACUUCAAGCCCGCCUCCUCCACCUCCGCCGCCAUCAAUUCUAAGCCCACCUCCGCCAACUCCGCCGACAUCAAUUCUCAGUCCACCUCCGCCAACUCCGCCGACAUCAAUUCUGAGUCCACCUCCCCCAACUCCGCCGCCACCUCCGCCGACAUCAAUUCUGAGUCCACCUCCGCCUAACCCAACUUCCAAUCCGCCAUCUUUUCAGCAGCCUCCGCCAGCUACAAAGGCGGCGCCGCCGUUCAAUCCGCCAAGUGAAGGCCAGGUGACUCCAGGUCCUGCCCGUCUUUAG
This 326-nucleotide long non-coding RNA is filed under the name Malus domestica (apple). RNAcentral describes it as "long non-coding RNA (MDOM_LNC007997)". The record is from RNAcentral. Lineage: Eukaryota; Viridiplantae; Streptophyta; Magnoliopsida; Rosales; Rosaceae.